AUACGUAGGGUGCAAGCGUUAAUCGGAAUUACUGGGCGUAAAGCGUGCGCAGGCGGUUUUGUAAGACAGUGGUGAAAUCCCCGGGCUCAACCUGGGAACUGCCAUUGUGACUGCAAGUCUGGAGUGCGGCAGAGGGGGAUGGAAUUCCGCGGGUAGCAGUGAAAUGCGUAGAUAUGCGGAGGAACACCGAUGGCGAAGGCAAUCCCCUGGGCCUGCACUGACGCUCAUGCACGAAAGCGUGGGGAGCAAACAGGAUUAGAUGCCCUGGUAGUCCACGCCCUAAACGAUGUCAACUGGUUGUUGGGGAUUUUUUGCUCAGUAACGAAGCUAACGAGUGAAGUUGACCGCCUGGGGAGUACGGCCGCAAGGUUAAAACUCAAAUGAAUUGACGGG
Molecule: ribosomal RNA, 393 nt
Filed under: uncultured bacterium
Lineage: Bacteria
Description: partial 16S ribosomal RNA
Rfam family: Bacterial small subunit ribosomal RNA
Source: RNAcentral